Molecule: transfer RNA, 71 nt
Filed under: Bos taurus (domestic cattle)
Lineage: Eukaryota; Metazoa; Chordata; Mammalia; Artiodactyla; Bovidae
Also listed under: 2 other names
Rfam family: tRNA
About the family: Transfer RNA (tRNA) molecules are approximately 80 nucleotides in length. Their secondary structure includes four short double-helical elements and three loops (D, anti-codon, and T loops).
Source: Rfam by way of RNAcentral
UCCCUCAUGGUCCGGUGGCUAAGACUGCAUUCCCAAUGCAGGGUACCUGGGUUCGAUCCCUGGUGAGGGAA